UUUUCUUGUCGCGGACGUCUCUUUCACUGCUCAUCCUUCUUCUUCCGGCCAUCAGUCUCACCGCUCGCCUUUAGCUCUUUUACUCUCCAGCAACCGUCUCCUGCCAUCAGCCAGGCGUGCGCAACUCAUACAGCAGCAGUUCCAACGAAGCACAUCAGUUGUGCGGUCGUGCCUUAACGUUGGACCUCCACUUCCACUCCCUCUCUUUGGUCGAGCUUCACCUGUUCGCCGAUCUGGCUGCCCGUCGUCCUCUCCAUGUCCCGCGCCUUGGUCCGGUCUCGGCUGCUGUUAACCAUCGCGUCCGGACAUCAGUGCAUGUCACCUUCGGUUUCUCCCUGCCCAUUCCAUGUCAUGGUAGGCUUGUAUCGGCCAUCGACCCCACGCUCAUCCUCGCAACCUCACUGCAACGUCGUCGUUCUCCCAGUUCUGCGCGAACGUCUGUGGUAGCGGUGGCUGGUAUGGUUGCUUGUUUGAAUGUAUGCGUAGUUCUGAGAGAGUCUAGAGACUUUGCAUUUCAUGUCCUUACAUAAGCAUCCAUGUAUUUGCAAUUGACUUGUAGAACACCUAGAGAAGAAGCGGUUUCUGAAGAAGGAGUUCACUUCAGAGCCUAUUGAUCCAGUGGUGGAAUCCCAUCUAACUAAUUAUCAUGAUAGAAAGGUUUUGGAUCUUCUCUGCAACAAGGCAAGCCCCGGUGCAUUUGCCACCUCCCUUGUGUUUACAAAAUUUUAUCACUUAUAUGCUGCAUUAGAUGAUAGGAGUUGAUUGAUUAAACACUUGAUGCAUUACCAUCCUUGAAAAAUUGAUUACCAUACCUUGUCACCUAUUUUAUAAAAGCUAGAGAUGCUUAGUCAUGCUGAUAGACUAAGAAAAAUGUUUUUGAUCUAUGACUCAUGUUUUUACAAAAAAGAAAAUGGGCUUGGGAUAAUGAAGGCAUCAAGACGUUGAUAAAUUCAUUAUCCAGGCAUGGCCCCUCUGCCAGGCGCCAAAAUUUUGAAAUAGUUUAAAAUGGGACCAGACGCUGAGCAGGAAAAGUCGCCCGUCUGUGUCGAUUAAGGAUCGUACCGAUUGUUGGCCUGCUGAUCUAGGACCCUUUAUCUGGCCACAUACCUCGUCAUGGGUAAGCCUGAACCCGGCUAAUCCAUACAUGAAAAGACAAUCGCGCACUGGGAGUGGAGAGAUGGCGAGAGUGGCACGUACCCUCCUGGCAAAGGACCGCCUAAAAGGGGUGGUGUGCUCUCGGGUGGCGCGGACCUGUUCAUGUGGUGGAGGAUCCGUGGGAAUGGUAGACAUGUGCAAAAGAGUUAAGGCAAGCAUAUGUCGUGUGGUUGGAGAUCCCCAGCUGGGUAUUAAUCGAUUCGGAUCGCCGAACUUCUCGGAUAUGAAGACUGAAUCUUCGACCUUCAUCGUAGAUAACAAGCGAAACAAAAUUUGGAUUUUAAAAGCAACCUAGUGUAGGUCAAGUGAAUGAUCUAGAUUAGGCAAAUGCUAGAUUCAGGCUAGAAGAUUCAGGUAAUAAACUAACUUUUGAAAUAAAACUUGGCUUAAGGACCCACUUCUAGUAAGCUUUUCUGCAAAAUGAGUCCUUGAACUUUGAUGAGCUUUACCUUGAUUCCCAAAAGCCAGCAUACCCUUGAGAGUCUUUUCCUUAGUCGGGUAAGUCUUGCUGAGUAAUUGCAUACUCAGGGUUUUAUCCCUUGUUGUUUUUGUAGGAGAAGUUUUAUUCCCUUAUCCUUUGGGUAGUUACUUCAUGUGGAGGACUUGAAGCUUAGAAUGUUUUUAUAUAUCUCUUAUGGAAAGGCUUCACCCUUCCAAUUAUUGUAAUAAGUUAUGCACUUCGAGUACUAUCAAGACUUGUAAUAAAUACAUCUCUUUCUACAAUGUAAAACUUGAGUUUUGGAAUGUAAAGUGUACUUUGUAAAAGUCUUCCGCUCUAUCUCCAAUGUGUGUGUAUCAAAUGUGAUUACUGUAAUAUACCUGUUAUGUGGGAGAUCCUUGGGAUGAUGAGUUCCAGUUAGCGAACUCGAUAGCCUUGUUAAGUUACCCGGUGCACGUGCACAACCAUCUGAGGCCAGUAAGGCAAGGAUUGGUGCAUGUGGGCCUGAUAACUUGGGAGGGCUGUCACAGCGUGGUAUCGGAGCGAUCCCCCAUUAGCAUGGAUAUUAAAGUAAUCCUUUGAUAAACUUCAAAAUGAUUUUGAGUCUAAAUCACUUUGGAAAAAACUUAAUAAUGGAUAAGCAAAGCCUGAUAGUAGAAGUGCAAAUAGUAUAUGGUUAAAACUAAGGACUAUAAGGUGGCCUAGUUUAAGAUGUUAACCACUAACCCACAACAGGGUAGGGAACUGCAUACAUGUGUAAUGUUAUUUUGGGGCCAUUCUGUUUUGAAUGGAUCGACGCUCAGGUAAGGUGAGUUGUGAGAGCAUGACCGAACAAACGUCGGUCUAGGGGAGUACUUAAUUGUGGCACUGGACUAUAUACAUAUUACACAUAUGUAUAUAUGAAGGUUGCAUUGUGGAGUAAUAUUUUUUCUGGGAAUUCAGUACCCAUAGAUGUGUAAGGGUAUACAAACAUGGGAAUACUGAGAAGUGUAAUGUACUUGUAAUGACGCACCUACGCGCAGGUAAGAUGGUAAGUUACCACAAUGGGCUGCCCUGUGGUUAAAAGUGUGGCAGCGGCGCCUAUGUGUGGCUCGGCGCUUAAUGAGGAGCUGGCCUCCAUAUAGAAAUAUAUGGAGUAUAAACUGUGACCAAAUGUGUGAAUUGCAUCAUGGGGUUUGGGCUGUAAUGGAAUUUUCUGCAGGUACACUGACUAAACUUUAGGAAAUUACGACUAGUUAACUCCGGAGUGAGUAGGUAUGCCACCGCCAUAGAGCGUGCAAGCCACUAUAUGCUGGCAAGAUUGUGAGGACGAAUAGGACGAGCAUGCAUCAUGACAUAUAACUUUAAGUUAAACCCCCUAUGUAGUAGCCUUAGUACGUGUUUCGUCUACCCUGUUCAUGUUGUCUGUCUUUGCCUUUCUAUGCUACCUUUCCUUGUUUUUGAAGACUGGAAGCCAAGUUUAGUUGGUGGGCAGAAUACCUUGCGCUGCAGCCAGAAGGAUGUUAAGUUCUCGGGUUGAGUUCUGUGAGGUAUUUCGGGCACGUCAUGUUCCAGAAGCCCCAAUGCAAAUAAAGUUCAAAGCGUUUUUGGAUCUAAAGCAAGGUGAAGAAGCGAGUGUAAUGGACUAUUUGAGAGGUUUACUCGCCUAUCCCAGUAUGUUUAGGAUUAUGUGGACGCCAGUGAGAAAAAAAAAUUAAUACAUCCUACGUGAUUUUAUGUGAAACUUAGGCUCCUGAUGGCAAUUAGUUUGGUUAAAGGAUAUAAGGAGAUGGUCAGUCAGGCUAUUCUAGGAAAUAAUAAGAUUCGUCUACAUCAGGAGUUUAAGUGAAUGAAGUAAAGGAUAUACCUGAUGUGAGGGAGUUCUCGGAUGUGUUCCUCAAAGAUUUGACUAGUUGCCUCCAUAAAGGAAUGUGGAAUUGCGAUUGGGUUGCAGUCCGGGACUCCAUUCACCCUGAAGGUAGCAAUAGGUACCAAGGCUUGAAACAGAGAUUUUGGUGGACCUAUAGCUUAUAAGGUACAAUUACCAAAAAGGACCUUCAACAGUGCACGAUGUGUUCCACGUGUCCCAAUGGAAGAAAUGUCUUCGAGUACCCAUAUAUGGUAUUGAGAUUUUAGAUGUUAACCAUAAACCAGGUUUAACCUCCUCGGAAUAUCCCAUAAAUGUGUUAGAUCAAAAGGAUCGGGUCACUCGAAGAAAAGUUAUUGAGUUUUACGAGAUACAGUGGAACUAACACCCAGAAGAUAAAGUGAUGUAGCAAUCAGAGAAGUAUUUGGAAAAGUAUAUUCCUGAGUUCCUAGUGUCUUGUAAACCCUAGGUUUGUAUAAGUUUUCUUUCGAUGGGGGCACACCCCCUGCCUUGUAGGAGUAACCGAGAAAUAAACCGGCGACGCAUUUCCUUUUCGAUUACUUGGCCUAGAAUUUUAAUCUCGGGACGAGAUUCCUUUUUAGGGGGGAAGGAUGUAACACCCCUGGUGUUACGAGAACUAAAAAUUCGGCAUGUCAUCAUAUGCACUCGCAUUAUCUUGUUUGAUAUCCCUAGAAUGCAUUUUACUAGGUCAAAAAUUCAACUCAAAUGUGGUGUGUUGUGUUGUUGUGAGCCAGGGAAGAUUAAAAACCCUGUCUGCAAUCAAGUUUAAGUGCACCACUUCUAAACCAGUGUCAUUUUGGACAUGAGAUAUAUACACCAAAGUGGGAUCUUAGGUUAAGGAGUAACUCUACUCUUAAGUGAUGAACCCAAAGUGGUGAGAUUGUUGGAGAAAAGCAAUCCCAAUUGAAACCUUAAACUAGCCCAAAAGUGGAUUUUAAGAUCUAGCUAUGUUUUGCUAAAAGUCCAUAUACCAAAGUUAUGGAGCUUGGAAAAGGGAACAAUUUUCAUAAUUGGAGCUCUCCAAGUGGUGUGGAAGAAUUCGAAGUAAAUUGCAAAAGUUCAGAUUUGGGUCGGUUUGGAAUCAGCCCAAAACAGUUUUGUUUUUCUGUUUUUGGAUUCCUAUAACUUUCAAUCCAUGAGUAUUUUGAAAACAGUUGCUACAACAAACCUGUAGAGUAACUAUAGGAGAACAAUGUUUAUGAGAUGUGGUAGCCCUAAAACCGUAUAGAACUAGGUGUAAAACUGGUCCAAAGUGGGAAUAUCAGAAUCUGAAUUUCAGACUGCAAUAUCUGAAACUGAAGAUUUUACAUUCUGAAGCAACUUUGAAAGCCUGUUGGUGGCUGAUCCAUACAACUAUGGGUUAAGGUUUAUGUACCAAAGUGAAAGAUCACAUGUUGGGGUAUAUGUUUGGUUAAGGUAAAUACCCCGGAAACUAUUUGGAACUGGUAGAAACAGUAGUCCAAAAGUGUAGUGUUUAAUUCUGGAUUUUCAGACUAAGUGAAAAACCAAAGUCUGAAUUUGUGUGUUUAAUGCUAACUUUGGCCUUCGAUGGUUUGGAGUCCGUGGGGUUCUAGCUAGGGGUCGUUGUACCAAACUUGUAGAGCACCAUGUGGAGCACCAAUUUGAUUAAUCCACUUGGCCUUAGAAGCAUUUGGAACCAGGAGAAAAAGGUGACUAAAGAGGGACUAUCAGAAUUCUGAAUUUUUCAGAUUUGUGAAUAGUAUCUGAAUCUGAAAUCUGUAUUUUUAGUGCAGUUUUGGGGCUGUGUGCUGCCUGUUCUAUGCAGUUUUGGACCAUGCUUGCUAUGGAAGAGUUGAAGAGCAUAUGUCAGUGAAUAACUUUCGUUGUGUGCGCUAGGCUUGAUCUGACCCAGAACAUGGAGUAAAAGUUACUGAAAACUGGGCUGUCAGUUUACAUGGACUGAACUUUUGCUCAGUUAACAGAACUGAAUUUUAGUGAGUUUUGCUCAACUUUGGAGCUUUCUUAUCACUAAUCCAUGGAGUUAUGGGUUGUAGUCUCUAUAGAAAAGUUAAAGAACAUAUAAUGAUGAGCAAGUUUGUUGAAGUGUGUCUGGCCUAAUGCUGCAUGAAAAGUGGAGUAAAAUGUGCUUGAACUUUCACUGUCAGGCGUGUGAUGUGCAGUUUCAGAUUCAGUCAGCUGAAGCCGAGCUGCAGUAUUUUCACCUAACUUUAGAGCACUAUAACUUUUGAUCCAUAUAUUUUUGACCUAGGGUUACUGCAGUAAGUUUGUAGAGCCAUGUUUUGUCAAUAAGUUUGAUUAACUGAGAUCUCCCUGUUACCACUGAAGUUUGUGAGUAAUUGAACUCAAAGUUCUUUGUCAGAUAGAUGUGUACUGAACUUCGAUCAGCUAGCUGAAACCCAGUUCUUAUCUUUGUUGGCCGAAUUUGGAGCUCACUAACCCAGAGUUUUUUUGAGCUUUAGUUAGUAACCAUUAAAGCAAAGAUGGAGAGUGAAUGUAGUGGAAUAACUCUUAGUAAGGAAGCAUUUGGGGUCAUCACAUGAAUUUGAGAGAAUGUUGUAAUGAAGGUUUCAGGUUCAUGCGUUAAGUAGUGUGUUUUUCUCCUCCUUGAUCCAUCUUUAUUUCUUGAUUUGUGCCCCUUUGAGGUUGAUCCCUGAAGCAAAGAGUAAGAGUGUGGUCUGGUCAGCAAGUUGUAUUAUAGCUGAUAUCUCUGUCACCACUUGGAAUAACGAGGUUUAACGGGAUUAAGUUGGGGGUUCAGUUGGGCAUCGAGUUCGGUCCAGUGGCUGAAACCAUAGUUCAGUCUGGUGUCGAAUUCAGUUUCAAGUGACUAAAAUCUGGUUUGAGUUAUGGGAGUAGAAAGCUAUCAACGCUGCAGCCAUCCUCACCUUGUUUUAAUAAAUUGAAGCUAUGAUUUAAGAUGUGAAGGGCUGGUAAUUAAAAAGGAAUCCAAGCAAAUCCAGUAACUGGGAGUGUGUGGCUGAAACUUGUUUCAGUUUUGGGGAGGCGCUGUGCGUGCUCAAGCUACGCGUCGGCUGGUGUCUGCCUUGCCUCCUGUGUGGACACCGCUAAAUCCAAACUUUUGCCGCUUAACUGAAGCCAGAUUUGCUUGCGCCAUUCCAUCGCGGCCACGUAUCCAAACUCGACCGGUGCUGGCUCUAUAGCGCUCCUUCCACUGUGAUAAGAAUAGCCACGUGCAACUUCCUGCUUCUUCCGAACCAUACACGACGAGUAUUCCUGGCCCUAGCAUCUUCCCUGUAACGCUUGCCUCACUUCGUCUCUCCCAGCCACCCUCUGAUUUUCUUGUCGCGGACGUCUCUUUCACUGCUCAUCCUUCUUCUUCCGGCCAUCGGUCUCACCGCUCGCCUUUAGCUCUUUUACUCUCCAGCAACCGUCUCCUGCCAUCAGCCAGGCGUGCGCAACUCAUACAGCAGCAGUUCCAACGAAGCGCAUCAGUUGUGCGGUCGUGCCUUAACGUUGGACCUCCACUUCCACUCCCUCUCUUUGGUCGAGCUUCACCUGUUCGCCGAUCUAGCUGCCCGUCGUCCUCUCCAUGUCCCGCGCCUUGGUCCGGUCUCGGCUGCUGUUAACCAUCGCGCCCGGACAUCAGUGCAUGUCGCCUUCGGUUUCUCCCUGCCCAUUCCAUGUCAUGGUAGGCUUGUAUCGGCCAUCGACCCCACGCUCAUCCUCGCAACCUCACUGCAACGUCGUCGUUCUCCCAGUUCUGCGCGAACGUCUGUGGUAGCGGUGGCUGGUAUGGUUGCUUGUUUGAAUGUAUGCGUAGUUCUGAGAGAGUCUAGAGACUUUGCAUUUCAUGUCCUUACAUAAGCAUCCAUGUAUUUGCAAUUGACUUGUAGAACACCUAGAGAAGAAGCGGUUUCUGAAGAAGGAGUUCACUUCAGAGCCUAUUGAUCCAGUGGUGGAAUCCCAUCUAACUAAUUAUCAUGAUAGAAAGGUUUUGGAUCUUCUCUGCAACAAGGCAAGCCCCGGUGCAUUUGCCACCUCCCUUGUGUUUACAAAAUUUUAUCACUUAUAUGCUGCAUUAGAUGAUAGGAGUUGAUUGAUUAAACACUUGAUGCAUUACCAUCCUUGAAAAAUUGAUUACCAUACCUUGUCACCUAUUUUAUAAAAGCUAGAGAUGCUUAGUCAUGCUGAUAGACUAAGAAAAAUGUUUUUGAUCUAUGACUCAUGUUUUUACAAAAAAGAAAAUGGGCUUGGGAUAAUGAAGGCAUCAAGACGUUGAUAAAUUCAUUAUCCAGGCAUGGCCCCUCUGCCAGGCGCCAAAAUUUUGAAAUAGUUUAAAAUGGGACCAGACGCUGAGCAGGAAAAGUUGCCCGUCUGUGUCGAUUAAGGAUCGUACCGAUUGUUGGCCUGCUGAUCUAGGACCCUUUAUCUGGCCACAUACCUCGUCAUGGGUAAGCCUGAACCCGGCUAAUCCAUACAUGAAAAGACAAUCGCGCACUGGGAGUGGAGAGAUGGCGAGAGUGGCACGUACCCUCCUGGCAAAGGACCGCCUAAAAGGGGUGGUGUGCUCUCGGGUGGCGCGGACCUGUUCAUGUGGUGGAGGAUCCGUGGGAAUGGUAGACAUGUGCAAAAGAGUUAAGGCAAGCAUAUGUCGUGUGGUUGGAGAUCCCCAGCUGGGUAUUAAUCGAUUCGGAUCGCCGAACUUCUCGGAUAUGAAGACUGGAUCUUCGACCUUCAUCGUAGAUAACAAGCGAAACAAAAUUUGGAUUUUAAAAGCAACCUAGUGUAGGUCAAGUGAAUGAUCUAGAUUAGGCAAAUGCUAGAUUCAGGCUAGAAGAUUCAGGUAAUAAACUAACUUUUGAAAUAAAACUUGGCUUAAGGUCCCACUUCUAGUAAGCUUUUCUGCAAAAUGAGUCCUUGAACUUUGAUGAGCUUUACCUUGAUUCCCAAAAGCCAGCAUACCCUUGAGAGUCUUUUCCUUAGUCGGGUAAGUCUUGCUGAGUAAUUGCAUACUCAGGGUUUUAUCCCUUGUUGUUUUUGUAGGAGAAGUUUUAUUCCCUUAUCCUUUGGGUAGUUACUUCAUGUGGAGGACUUGAAGCUUAGAAUGUUUUUAUAUAUCUCUUAUGGAAAGGCUUCACCCUUCCAAUUAUUGUAAUAAGUUAUGCACUUCGAGUACUAUCAAGACUUGUAAUAAAUACAUCUCUUUCUACAAUGUAAAACUUGAGUUUUGGAAUGUAAAGUGUAC
This 8649-nucleotide long non-coding RNA is filed under the name Zea mays. RNAcentral's name for it is "long non-coding RNA (ZMAY_LNC001676)". Lineage: Eukaryota; Viridiplantae; Streptophyta; Magnoliopsida; Poales; Poaceae. The record is from RNAcentral.